Molecule: ribosomal RNA, 301 nt
Filed under: uncultured bacterium
Lineage: Bacteria
Description: partial 16S ribosomal RNA
Rfam family: Bacterial small subunit ribosomal RNA
Source: RNAcentral
CAGUGCCGCGGUAAUACGUAGGGUGCAAGCGUUAAUCGGAAUUACUGGGCGUAAAGCGUGCGCAGGCGGUUAUAUAAGACAGAUGUGAAAUCCCCGGGCUCAACCUGGGAACUGCAUUUGUGACUGUAUAGCUAGAGUACGGCAGAGGGGGAUGGAAUUCCGCGUGUAGCAGUGAAAUGCGUAGAUAUGCGGAGGAACACCGAUGGCGAAGGCAAUCCCCUGGGCCUGUACUGACGCUCAUGCACGAAAGCGUGGGGAGCAAACAGGAUUAGAUACCCCUGUAGUCCCUGUCUCUUAUACA